UACGUAGGGUGCGAGCGUUGUCCGGAUUUACUGGGCGUAAAGAGCGCGCAGGCGGUCGUUCAAGUCGCGUGUGAAAACCCCCGGCUCAACUGGGGAGGGUCACGCGAUACUGAUCGACUCGAAGGCAGGAGAGGGAAGUGGAAUUCCCGGUGUAGUGGUGAAAUGCGUAGAUAUCGGGAGGAACACCAGUGGCGAAGGCGACUUCCUGGCCUGUUCUUGACGCUGAGGCGCGAAAGCUAGGGGAGCAAACGGG
This 253-nucleotide ribosomal RNA is filed under the name uncultured bacterium. RNAcentral describes it as "partial 16S ribosomal RNA". It matches the Rfam family "Bacterial small subunit ribosomal RNA", at positions 524 to 776 of the family's 1533-position model. The record is from RNAcentral.